UACGUAGGGGGCAAGCGUUGUCCGGAAUCAUUGGGCGUAAAGCGCGUGUAGGCGGCCAGAAAAGUCCGCUGUGAAAACUCGAGGCUCAACUUCGAGCUGUCGGUGGAAACUUUCUGGCUAGAGUCCGGAAGAGGAGAAUGGAAUUCCUGGUGUAGCGGUGAAAGUGCGCAGAUAUCAGGAAGAACACCCCGUGGCGAAGGCGGUUCUCUGGGGACGGUACUGACGCUGAGACGCGAAAGCGUGGGGAGCGAACAG
Molecule: ribosomal RNA, 255 nt
Filed under: uncultured bacterium
Lineage: Bacteria
Description: partial 16S ribosomal RNA
Rfam family: Bacterial small subunit ribosomal RNA
Source: RNAcentral